This 268-nucleotide ribosomal RNA is filed under the name uncultured bacterium. RNAcentral's name for it is "partial 16S ribosomal RNA". It matches the Rfam family "Bacterial small subunit ribosomal RNA", at positions 1050 to 1320 of the family's 1533-position model. The record is from RNAcentral.
UGUCGUCAGCUCGUGUCGUGAGAUGUUGGGUUAAGUCCCGCAACGAGCGCAACCCUCGCCAUUAGUUGCCAUCAUUCAGUUGGGCACUCUAGUGGGACCGCCGACGCUAAGUCGGAGGAAGGUGGGGAUGACGUCAAGUCAUCAUGGCCCUUACGGGCUGGGCUACACACGUGCUACAAUGGCGGUGACAGUGGGCAGCGAGGCAGCAAUGCCAAGCUAAUCUCAAAAAGCCGUCUCAGUUCGGAUUGGGGUCUGCAACUCGACCCCA